CGACGGCGUCUCCACCACGUCUCUUCAGUUGUUGGCACGAGUGCAUUCUCGUCCGACGUCGGUUAUCCUGUGCUGAAUACCUAUCUCUAGGGCAUUGAGUCGGCUAGAAUCUGUUCGUUCCCGCCUUGCGCGGCCGCUCCCCGUGGGCGGCGGUGCGGGGUGGGCCUAAUGGCGCGCGCCGUGCGUCGCACCGCGUUCGUCCUCACGGGCGUUCGGGUCGACGACGCACGGWGCUGCGCACGAUCUCUCGGGUACGGUGCACGAUGUGGGUGCGGGGCGUCAACACGCCUCCGAGCUCCACAAACAAGCGUUCUGCGCUACUUGCGAACGACGGUCGGUUCGGUCUCCGUCCGUGCUCUCGUGGCUCGGUCGGAGCCGUUCCGACGUCGAUG
RNAcentral lists this unclassified non-coding RNA (392 nucleotides) under Salvia axillaris. RNAcentral describes it as "partial external transcribed spacer". The record is from RNAcentral. Lineage: Eukaryota; Viridiplantae; Streptophyta; Magnoliopsida; Lamiales; Lamiaceae.